GACGAACGCUGGCGGCGUGCUUAACACAUGCAAGUCGAACGGAAAGGCCCUGCUUUUGUGGGGUGCUCGAGUGGCGAACGGGUGAGUAACACGUGAGUAACCUGCCCUAGACUUUGGGAUAACUUCAGGAAACUGGGGCUAAUACCGGAUAGGAGCUCCUGCUGCAUGGUGGGGGUUGGAAAGUUUCGGCGGUUGGGGAUGGACUCGCGGCUUAUCAGCUUGUUGGUGGGGUAGUGGCUUACCAAGCCUUUGACGGGUAGCCGGCCUGAGAGGGUGACCGGCCACAUUGGGACUGAGGUACGGCCCAGACUCGUACAGGAGGCAACAGUGGGGAACAUUGCACAAUGAGCGGAAGCCUGAUGCAGCAACGCCGCGUGCGGGAUGACGGCCUUCGGGUUAUGAACCGCUUUCGCCUGUGACGAAGCGUGAGUGACGGUAAUGGGUAAAGAAGCACCGGCUAACUACGUG
Molecule: ribosomal RNA, 468 nt
Filed under: uncultured bacterium
Lineage: Bacteria
Description: partial 16S ribosomal RNA
Rfam family: Bacterial small subunit ribosomal RNA
Source: RNAcentral